ACAGCAUUUUUCUCUUUUUUUAGGCCAAGCCACGUAGCUUGCAAAUCUUAGGUCCCUGGCCAGGGGUCGAAUCCAGGCUAGCGACAACGGAAGUGCAGAGUCCUAACCACUGGACUGCCAGGGAAUUCCCUGGUCUUAGGUGUGGCAAGUGGAACCUUCAGUGGCGGCUUGUGGGAUCUAGUUCCCUGACCAGGGACUGAACUUGGGCCCCCUGCGUUGGGAGCACAGAGUCUUAGCCAGUGGACCACCACUAGUGUGCAUAUGAGGACUUCCCAGCUGGAACAGAGGUAAAGAAUCUACCUGCC
Long non-coding RNA from Bos taurus (domestic cattle), 305 nucleotides. The record is from Ensembl. Lineage: Eukaryota; Metazoa; Chordata; Mammalia; Artiodactyla; Bovidae.